This 305-nucleotide ribosomal RNA is filed under the name uncultured bacterium. Its description in RNAcentral is "bacterial SSU rRNA". It matches the Rfam family "Bacterial small subunit ribosomal RNA", at positions 212 to 509 of the family's 1533-position model. The record is from RNAcentral.
GCUUCACUUUGAGAUGAGCCUGCGGCGUAUUAGCUAGUUGGUGGGGUAAAGGCCUACCAAGGCGACGAUGCGUAGCCGACCUGAGAGGGUGAUCGGCCACACUGGGACUGAGACACGGCCCAGACUCCUACGGGAGACAGCAGUUAGGAAUAUUCGUCAAUGGGGGGAACCCUGAACGAGCAAUGCCGCGUGAACGAAGAAGUCUCUGGAUUGUAAAGUUCUGUUUGUUAGGGACGAACGACCAGUAUAGGAAAUGAUACUGGAGUGACGGUACCUUUCAAGAAAGCUCCGGCUAACUACGUGCC